Molecule: long non-coding RNA, 1234 nt
Organism: Capsicum annuum
Lineage: Eukaryota; Viridiplantae; Streptophyta; Magnoliopsida; Solanales; Solanaceae
Exons: 2
Source: RefSeq, a predicted model, not a curated record
UCCAUUGCAAAGUCCCACAUCGGUACUACAAGGUAUUGUUGUGGGGUAUGUAUAGCCUUGGGAUCUCUCCCACCUUAACAUCUACCUUUUGGGGUACGGUUCUCCUAAGGUUAUAACAGUGGUAUCAGAGUCACCCAUCAGCCUUUGCGCUCACUGUGCCUGGGAUGGUGACAUCAGUAUGGUAGUGUUCGGCCGGGGCUAGAAAUGUUUAGCUCACAACCAUCGAGGCACCUGGGUACCUGACUCAAAAAGGGAAACCUGGGAAAGAGCUACCUACAUAAGUAGAGUGAAAGCUACCCACUUGACGGAUGCUGAUCGUGGUGGUUUGUUAUGAUCCAUUGCAACUCGGCGGAUGCAGAUCAUGGUGGUUUGUUAUGAUCCACUGUAAAGUUCCACUUCGGUACUACAAAGUAUUGUUGUGAGCUAUUUAUAGCCUUGGGCUCUCUCCUUCCUUAAGAUCUAGCUUUUGGGAUGCGGUUCUCCUAAGGUUGUAACAUCAAUGCUCAAACCAACGGAUAAUGGAAUAUCCGGUGGACUUUAGCCUUCUCCUCAUACUUUCCAUCAGUCUUGCAAUUCCUCCAUCAACUUUAUAUCAUAUAGACAGCUUUUCCUGAUCAAAUCAUCCCCUAAAAUACUCCAUAUAUGUUGCUCCUAAAAAGGUGUGGAAUAAGAAGGAUCACCGGAUUUGGAAUUGCUUUUCGCUUAAUCUAACGGGUCGAAACGACUUUUCCAAGAAUUCAAAAUUUGAAUUCUUGGGGCAUGAGAUGAGAACUGUUGCAAUCCCCUCAAAUUUUACUAUAAAAUGAGCCAUUGGGUUCCUAUUUUGAUUAGCAAAAACAAUAAAGAAUUAGAUUUUAUCAAAAUAGCAAAAUCCAUCAACAAAUUCAUAUUACUAUAAUACUUCGUAUUCUUUUUAUCUCUCUUUUCGAAAUCAAAGUCCGAGUUCGAGUUUGUAUCUUCGACGGAAAGCUUCAGUUCGCUGCUCUACACGAGAGCAAACAACUUGGAGUCUCAAGGCUAUAUUCUCGUACCCGUAUGGAGUCUCUAAAUGAGACUUGCCGUUACCCCUCAUUCUAGCAAGGAUUCAUAUUCCAUAUUCUUAAGUCGAACCGGCUAGCAGUCUAGUGCCUCUUUCCCUCUUCUCAAGCUUUAUUCUUUUUUAUAGACACUUAUUAUUAUUUUGUGUACAUUUCACAUAUUACUAUUUAAAGUUUGUGUUUAUAUGUUUCUUAUU